Non-coding RNA from Equus caballus (horse), 12493 nucleotides. NCBI's taxonomy places the organism in Eukaryota, Metazoa, Chordata, Mammalia, Perissodactyla, Equidae. The record is from RefSeq and is a predicted model, not a curated record.
CGCUGAAGUGGAGUGCGAGAACUUAACCACUACACCACCGGCCCGGCCCCAGAACCUACAUUUUUAACAAAAUCCCCAGGUAUUCAUUUGCCCACAAAACUUUGAGAAGCACUGUUGUGGAACUAUAAAUAUUUAAGCUUCUUAAAAUCUAGCUUUCUUUUGAUUCAAAUUCUGUUUAUAACAAUCUUGGCUAGCUUUUACUUAAUACAAAAUUAGUUUAUAAACAAUUGUAAGCUUAGAAAUCCUUUAUUGAAAUCAGGAAUAAGAAAAAUACUCAUUUAAAAUUUGGUAAAAGUUUUGAAUCCACAUUUUACUGAAGAAAAUAUAUGAUGGCAAGUCAGCACAUGAAAAGAUGCUUAACAUCAUUAGUCAUUAGGAUAAUGCAAACUAAAAUCACAGUGAGAUGCCACUUACACACCUGUUAGAAUUGCUAUAAUAAAGCAAUAAAAAUACCUGACAAUAUUAAGUGUUGGUGAAGCUGUAGACAAGCUAGUGCUCUCAUAUGUUGCUGGUGGGAAUACAAAAUGGUACAAUGACUUUGGAAAAAAAUUUAGCAAUUUUUCAUAAAGUUAACCCACUCUCAUCAUGUGAUUCAGCCAUCCUACUCCUAGAUAUUUACCCAAGGAAGUGAAAACUUACGUCACACAAAAACAUGUAUGUAAAUGUUUAUAGUAGUUCCACUGGUAAUCACCAAAACCUGGAAACAACCCAAAUGUCCUAUAACUAAUGAAUGGAUGGGCAAACACAGGUGUAUCCAUAUAAUAGGAUGCCGCGGGGCCAUAAAAAGAACAAAUUACUGAUACACACAAUAACAUGGAUGAAUCCAAAGUACAUAAAAGAUUAUGCAAGUGAAGAAAGCCAGAUUUCCAUUUGUAUGACAUUAUGGAAAAGGCAAAGCUAUAGGGAUGGAGAACUGAAGUGGUCGCCAGGGUUACAGGGUCGAUGGAGUAUUUGAAUACAAAGGGUUUGAAUACAAAGCAGUUAUGCAUUGAUGGAGCUGUUCUGUGUCCUGAUUGUGAUGAUGGUUACACUGCUCUAGACAUUUGUCAAAUUUCAUAAAACCGCACAUAAAAAAGUAUACUUUAAUGUAUGUAUGUCAAAAGUAAAUUUGCAAAAAUCAGGCACUGUCUGCAAUGCCUGCUCUUUACUUUUCCCAGCAUGUCAAAGAGACGUGGUUUAACCGAAGUCCUCCACAAGCUAAACAGAGUGAAUGAUGUUGCAUGAUGGCAACCAUGGCAGCCAGUGUUUGGCCCUCCACCCACGCUGUUGUGGAGGAACAUAGACUGCUUGCUUUGUUUCCAUCCUCCUCCUUUUCUGAGCUGUGUUCUCUUCUCCUGUAAAUAAGGUGUGACGUCGCCCACGAGAGGACAUGGGAGCACAGUAAUUUGCAUACUCUAAUUAAACUGCUGUAUCAUGAGCUUGCUUUCUUUGGUUAUAUUAGAAUAAGAACAAAGGUGCACCUCUAACUCAGAGUUUGGAGUGUUAUCCCUGGGAACUGGAAUGAAUAAAACAGUCCAGGAAGGCUUGCGUGCCUUGCAACUUUAAUGCAGCUGUCUGCCACCCUGCUUUAGGGCAGAGCACCCAGCGUCACAGUCCUUAGUGGACUGUCCUUUAUCUCAGUUCUAACCCCAGGGUGAUCCAGCAGUUGCGUCUUGCUGUCCUCCAGCACUCACGUGGAAGGCAUCAACACUGAGCAGCCACACCUCAUCCUCCAAUCCUAGCUGGUUCUUGAGCUAGAGAGAAUCGAGACUCCUUGGAGAUCCAUGGAUUCCAUGUCUUGGGAUGGAAAAAAGUUUGCAUGGAUUUUCAGUUACAUUGACUGCCAGAAGACAAGAAAACUUUAAAAAAUAUCUAGGGUCAUACUGAAAAGACAAAAGAGAUAGUUUUUAAAAACUUCUGCUUGCCAAGUUAUAACAGUUUGAAUAUCAAAACAGAAUAUUAACCAUAGCUAGUUGGAAUGAAUUGAAUCUAUAUGAAGGUUAUGACAUUCCAAGACAAAAUAAGUUCAUUAAAGAUGAUAAUUAUGAUACAAAAGAAGAAUGAAUACAAUUUUUAAGUUAACCAAAAUUAGUAGGGGACUAUUGACAUAUAUGAUGUUCUGUUUUUCAGAUGCAUGUGUGUAUUUUUUUACCUACCUCUGUGCAUAAUAGAGAGGGAUAGGCAAAAUAGUUCUUAAAGGGGAUGGGAAUUGCACAAAGAGCAGAAGGGCCUAUAACCUCAAUGGACCAUGGACAAGAACUAGGUGGAAAGCAUGGCAGUGGGUUGCCAUAUGAUGGAUUGUUCAAAAUUUAGAAAGAAGAGCUGAUAGUUCAACUUAGCCCCUUGUCUCCUAGAAAAUGAAACCUCUAGAUGACUCAACUGAUUUUACUGAGAUGUAAAAACUAUAUAAUGAGUUAAAUUGUAAAUCAAGGCUACACAUCCUCCAUUAGUUUGCUAGGGCUGUUGUAACACAGCACCACAGACUUAAACAGAAAUUUAUUUUCUCACAGUCUAGAAGCUAAAAGUCUGAGAUCAAGGUGUCAGCAGUUUCUUUCUGAAGGCUGAGAGGGAGAAUCUGUUUCCUGGCCUUUCCACUCGGCUUAUAGAUACCAUCUUCUCCCUGUGUCUUCACAUUAUCUUCCCUCUGUAUGUGUCUAUGUCCCAAUUUCCUCUUCUUGUACAGACACCAGUCAUAGUGGAUUAGGGUGCACCAUAAUGACCUCACUUUCAUUUAAUUACCUCUUUAAAGAUUCUGACUCCAAAUACAGUUAUAUUCUGAGGAACUAUGGGUUAGGACUUCAAGCUAUGAAUCUUUGGGAGGACAGAAUUCAGCCUAUAACAUGUCCUAUGACAUGGAUGUGAUGAAAGAAGACAGCAGAGACACCAAGUUGCAGGAAAAGGCAUGGCUGUGGAUGGUCUCAUUGACACAAUGAGUCAAUCUUGAUUCUAAGAGGAGCCCAGGUAAGAAAUAGCUGCUAGAGUUUUAUUCACUUUGGAAGUCCCAACAAUGUCAGCUGUUCUACCAUAAUCUUUUUGUUUGAUAGGUCACUGUAACCUGGGAAGAUGCAUUAAAAUAUAUUAAAGUAUGUAAAUAAUGAAGAAAUUAACUAAGUCUAUAGGAUCACUAACUUUCUCACAGGUUGAGUAUAAAUAUAACAAUACAUUUUAUAAUCAAUAUGAUAAUUUGUGAAUAUCACGUCUGUUUUUAAGGUGUUUGAAGCAGUUAAGGGAAUGUGGCACAUUAGGCUUAUGCUUUUAUUGAGAUAGGUAGAGAGCUUGACUAAGGUUUGUAACUAACUUUUAAAUGUAUAAGAGGAUUAGUAAAGCUUACAUUUUAAUUUAUUAGUUAUGCAAGUUUAAAUGUUUAGAGAAAUUUCACUUACUAUAGUUAUAAUUACAUUGGACAUUAAAGAAAGAGCAAGUAGUAACUUUGAUUUUCCACAUACGCAAAAACCACUUCAGGAGUAAGCCACCUACCUAGCAGGACUCCAAAGGCAGUCUGGAGUUGGGAAUGGCUGUCAUGGCAACAAUCCUCAGCACAGAGGGGAGAUGUGGUGUGAACUCAUGGCCCUCACACUCAGCCCUCCCCCCUCUCACCUCCCAGGACUCCUGACUGUUCAUUGCAGUGUAAAAGAGGGAGGCUGAGUUUCAUUCAAAUAUAUAUUUCACUAACUUUACUCCUUUGCAAGACUAAGAUUCCAGAUGGCAAAUGAACAGUGAGUCUGCCUCAUUGGGAAAUACUGUGGCGGUUGUUUUAAUUCUUAAAGAAGUGGGGACUGUGGAAGAUAAUCUGCCACCAAAGUGGUUUGCAUCAAAAUUAUCCUUAUAAUGACUCACAGAUCUUCACUAGUCUCAUUUGUGCUCCAGGUUUUUCCAUGUCUUUGCCUUUGUUCUUGAUGAUAACCCCUCUUCUAGUACUCUCUCCACCCAUCUUUACUCAGAGGUGACCAAAGCUUGGGUCCACUCCCCAAGAAGACUUUUAUAGCACAGCCAGGGCAUGUCCCUGAGCCAGAGCCUACUGUUGAUGAGAAAGUUGAUUCAAUAAAUUUAAUUCAUUAAAAGAGUUCAUGAUUCAAGAUAUUACUACUGUAUCUCAUUACUAUUUGUGUUUGAAAAUAGGGCAAUAGAGGAGCUCAAUGCUUAAUGUGAAGGAAUUAUCUGAGUACUAGACAUUAAUUCAAAUCUUCUUUAUUAAGUAACUCCAUGUGUCCAUGACUAUACUAUGUACCAGGUCCCUGAUUUCAGUCAUGGCAUCAUGGUUCAUGGAAAACUUACCUCAUAGAAAUUAAUGCCAGUGGCUUUCAUUUCUUGAGUAGCUUGCUAAGUGCUAUUUGGUACUUUGUAUACAUCAAUACAUGAAAUACUCCCUCUGCUCAGUGGUCUGUGUAUUAUUUUUCUCAAAUAUGACAAUCAGAGACUCAAAAAUGUUAAGAUAUUUCUGGUAGUAACAGCCGGGUAAAGCUGAAAUUCAAAUUUUGGUCUUACUGACUAUAAAUGUAGUUCACUUUUCACUAUGAUUCACUGUUGCUAUGCUCCUUGAAUCUUAGCUUCCCAUUUGUGAAAUGGUCAUAAUGAUGCCUACCCAUGAGAUCCUUGUGAGGUCUAACAAUGUUGAUGUGAAGAGAAGGCACUAUUCCUUCCAUGAUGAGACCCAGGGUAGCUUCAACCUCUUUCAACCUUCUAGGUCACUUUUCCCCCAAAACCUCAGUUUUUAAUAUAUUUACAUUUAUGGUUAUAUUUACAUUUACAUUUUACAUCUGUGAGUACUAAAAGUGAGGUCUGCCCUGUCUCUCAGUCUAUAUGGGGCACAGUGUGGAUGAAUGGUGUUGUGGCUACCCAUUUCUCCUUCAAGUUGGCAUGGGAUCUAGGUUUGCCAUUGCUUAGAGUAGGGUUGCAAGAUUAACAAAUACAAAUAUAGAAUGUCUAGUUACAUUUAAAUUUGAGAUGAACAAUAUUUUAUUUUAGUAAAAGCAUGUUUCAUGCAAUAUUUGUAGGGAACAUUUCGGAUACACUUAUACAAAAAAUUAUUUGUUGUUUACAUGCAAUUCAAAUGAAAUGCAUAACUGUGCAUCCUAUAUUUUAUCUAGCAACCCUAAUCAUAAGCCCUGGGUCUACAAUUGGCAGCUCUUACUGGAGUCAGGCCCUUCCUAGUCAGGGAACUGGCAAGUCAACAAUGAACAGGCCAGUAGACAGAGUUUGGGGCAGGCAAUGAGAAUCAACCUCAAAGAUAAAGAGGAGGAAAAGGUAGACUCAAAAUACAAGAUCAAGCAUCCACAGGCUCAGGAGGGCUUGGCCUUCUUCCAAAGGACAGUCUCUUUUCCCAUCAGAUAUUAACCUGAUUUUCCUCUUUCAUUUAGAGAAACAAAAAAUUUUGCGUUUCUGCUCAUCUCAAAUUAGGGAACCUUCUAUAUUGACAUCAACUCAACUAAUUAUUUUUUUCUGUUGUGGGGUCAUCUGUAUUCACAGUACACUAAAAUGUGAAGAAAAAGAACAAAAAGUAUCGUUCUGUUUCUAUUUCUUAUUUAGUAUGUGUACUCCACUGGGUCAUGGAGGAGAAUCUAAAUUUAGUUUAAUCCGGAAAACUGAGUCUUGUCCAAUAAUUCCGGUGACAUUUUUGGGGUAAUGCAUUUCCUUAGAGUUGAAUGUCCUGUCUUUGAAUUAGUUUCCUCAUACUCCUAUUUUUCUUCAAGAUGAUGUCAAGGUUCAUGUGGAAGAUGGGCUCAUACAUCCAUGCAGAGUCAUCUGAGUCUGCACUGGUAUUAGCCAAUGACUAGUCUGGUAUGCACUCUGAACCGAAGACUGCCCUGGGGUCAGCAUCUGGACUGCCAUGACUGGAGUUCAAGGUCCUGGCUUUUCUACUGAGGGACCAGAGUUCUCACACACUGUGUCCUCUUUCAAGUCAUGACUCUGGAGGAAGAGAUGUGUUCGAAAGUGUGUUGAGUCUGCUGAUGCUUGCAAGUAAUUGACCCUUUGCCCUCCUGGAGCUGGUGAUUCAGCUUCAGCCACCAUGCUGGCCUCCCUUUCCUGCCCUAGUGCCUCUAGAUGGCAGGCAGUGUCACUCUGGUGGCAGUGGUCUCAGGGAGUGCCACUCAGCCCUCCAUUUCUUCACAGGGAGGGGCUAAAAUAGACCUGAGUUCCCCUUCUCAAAGGAACCUCAUGAAGCUUAGGGUCUUUCUCCCUUCUGUGGCUUUUGAAAGCAUGAGAGGUGGGGGUGGGAAUGGACUCCCUUCCCGGGAAGGUGAUUGUAGGUCUUUCUGUGCUCCCUGGCACCGCAGCUGGGAGCAACUUGGACAUCAUAAGGAGUUCUUCUUAUGGUUUUACAUUAGAAAGAAACUGUUCCCAUCCAUGAUUUCAGUUCAGCCUGGUAUUCAAUCUUUAGUUAGUCAGGACGGGGGUAAACGUUGCUAGUUAUUUCCUAACCUGAAGCACAUUUGGAAUCCAGAAGAGAUGGUGGUGAGCCACCUUCCCCAGGUCAGUUUCCGGGGAGGAAAGUGAGGCUCUGGGAGGGAGGGGUGACUCACCGGGCCUUCUCAGCAUCAGGGAACACAGACCCAAUAGGCACACGGGAGGAGGGGCAUGCCAGAACCCUCAGCUUUCAGGGAUUUAAAAAAAAAUAUUGUCAUUUUUCUCUCCUUUUGGGCCAGAACAUUGGACCUUUCCAUUUCCUGUGACUGGUUUUGCCAGAUGCAGCAAUCGAAUGCCCUAGAGUAGAAACCGAAAUGAUACCCAGGACAGGAGCUUAGUUUCUGCUCUGCUACUUGUUAACUUUGUGAUUUUAAACCAAUGAUUUCCUUUUCUGGACCUGCAUUUCUUUACCAAAAAUAUGAAGGUAUUGCCACUGAUCAAUAGUCUCCAAACUUUUGUUUCCAGCUAUAAGAUCUACUUUUCAAGAGAAAUGUCACUGGAACUGCAAUAUAUGGGACAAGCGCAAGCAAGCAGCUCAGUUGGCAUGGUUGGCUGAGCAAAGGGCAGAGAAAUGAGCCAGCUCGGCUUCCUGCCCCGAGGAGGGGGGCUCCUCCCGACAGGGCAGGCCCCUGGCUCCUUCACAGUUUCCUGGGACUUCACCAAAGAGGGUGUGGAAAUCCCCAAGUAUUGUAGCCAUCAGGGUCUCCAACAUUCCGUAAGUCUGCUCUGUAAAUGAAAUGAGAUCAUGAAAGAGAAAGCACUGAGUAAAACUGAAAGCAUAUUGCUUUGUUACUACGAAGAUUAUGAUCUUUGGACAGAGCCAAAGGGCCCUUGUUUCUGACCUACAGAGGCACGCGGGCUGCUGGCUUCUCAUGGCUUCAGCAAGAACAAAACCCAAAGUACAGCUUCGGGAAGGCGGCUUUGUUCUCCUCUGUGAAUAUCGGGGUCUGAAAAAGGUUGAGCAACUCAGGAAAAGAGAGAGACCUAAAUGGCUUUUCUUAAUAAAGCGUUUCAUCUCCUCUGAAAUCAGAACACAGAAGCAGGGGCAGCAGGAACCCCCAUGGCUAUGGUUAGUCACCAUGCUGCCGCCCCCAAAUCCUUCUCACUGCCCAAUCAAAGAGGGAAAGACUUGCUGGAGCUGACCCACUCACUCUGGUGACCUUGGAAGGAUGAGAGAGAGAAUAACCUCCUGGGAGAGCUCGUCCCACUGGGUUCCUUGCAGUUACAGGUGGAAAUUUGUUCACUCUUUCACUGACUCACUCAUUCAUUCAUUCAUUCACUCACUCAUCCUAUCAAUUAGGAGUAGUACAUGCUAUACACAAGAGAGAACACCUGUAUGUCCUUUUUCCAGAUUCACUAGUUAGGGAAAUGCCUAUGUGCCAGGUCUUUAGAACACAGGGAUAAGCAAGAUUUCACAGGUUCUCCCAUCUCUGAAAAUCCGUGAUGGCAGCAGUCACCUCCCCUCUGAGAGGCCUGCCUUACCCUCUUGGUCUGGAUGAGAUGCCCCUCCUUGUGCUUCCGUAGCGCUUAUGCUCACUAGUGUCCAUCACAUCCCCUGCAGUGGAAGUUCUGGGAGGCAAGGCCCGGGUCUCUGCUGUCCACAGCUCUGGUCCCAGAGAGCUUAGUGUAACUCAUGGAACCUAGCAGAUGUUCAAUAAACACUGGUUGGAAGAAUUUAACACCACACUACGGUAUCUAGUUGCUUGUCUAUCUUCCUUCACCGCUCUCCAUAUGGCCCAUGAGUACCUGAAGGCUCCUGACAUCACAGUGAAAGGAAGUGAACCCAAAACAAAUUCAAAUCCAGGACUCCACCACAUCUUGCAUUGAGUAGCCUGUUUCACUUUCCUCAUAUCUAAACAUGAAAAUGAAGACAUAAUUUCCAGAUCCAGAGCUCUUAAGAAAGUUUAGAAAGAAUACCGAUAACCUGCCUAGGAGAACCCAUAGCAAACAAGGGGCAAACAGUAAUUGCUAGCUAUUAAUAGAAACUUCAAUUUGUUUAAACUUCUAAAGCUCAUUUAAUUGCUGGAAAUAUAGUCUCUUUCUCUGGAAAACUUCUGGAUGUACUUUUACCAGAUUCACCAAUUUUUACCAUUUUGCCACAUUUGUUUUAUCAUCUCUCUCUCUCUAUAUAUGUAUAAACAAACAUUUAUAGAGACACAUAGAUCUGCAUAUACAUACUUACCUGUGUGUAAAUUAUAAAUUCUAAAAUGAUUAUUUGUUUUUCUGAAUCAUUUGAAAGUUACAUACAGUCUGCCCUUUUACUUCUUAAUAUUUCAGUGUGUAACUCCUAACAAUAAGAAUAUUCUCUUAAAUAACCACAAUCUUGUUACAUUUAGGAAACUUAACAUUGUUCCAAUACUUACAUCUAAUUUACCUUCCAAUAUCCCAUGUUUGUCAAUUGUCCCAAUAGUGUCCUUUAAGCACUUACAUGUCCAGUACAGGAUCUGCUCCAUUUAGUGGCCAUGUCUGUUUACUCUCCUUUAAUCUAGAAGGUUCCUCAGUCCUUCUCACUUUCAUACCCAGACGUUUUUAAAGAAUCGAGGCCGGCUGUAGACUGUUCUUCAGUGUGGGUUUGUCUGAUGUUUCCUUGUGAUUAGAUUCAAGUUACUCAUAGGUGAUGGGGUUUCCUUCUCAAUGCAUCACGUCCAGGGGCAUGUGAUGUCCAUCCGCUCCUCUCUGCUAAGGUCAAUUUUGAUCACACCAAGUCUCAUCCCAUUUCUCCAUUGUGCAGUUACUGUUUUUCGCCUUUCAGCUAACAAGCAAUCUGUGCAGAGAGCCUUUGAGACCACGCAGAUAUUCUGCCCCUCGUCAAACUUCCCCCCAGAUUUGGCUUCCGUUGAUGAUUCUUGCACAGCUGGUCCGUAGUAGGCUGGUUGUAGCAUGGUGGUUUCACCCUGCCAUCACUCUUUCAACUUUUCUCAUAGGCUUUCUGCCACAAGGAAGACUCUCUCUGAGUAGGAAAGAUAAUCUAUCUAAGGAUAUUUAUCUCAUUGUCAGAAGGAAAUAGGGGCCUGAGGUGCUGGUGAGAGAUCGGGCUGGAGAGGGAGGUUUGUAUAUUAACCCUGGGGAAGCCUUGAGGAAGUCUGGGAACAAAGAGGAAUAAGCCUGGGAAACAUGGGGCAUAGAGCGUGAGCAGCAGAAAGAAGGUGCAAUCGCAGGAAACUCAACGGUGCAGCAAAGGAGGGCCAGACCCCAUUUGGGCCACAUUCUAAACGGUUAACUGAGGUAAGUCUCUCUACCUUGGAGUCCGCUUGUUCUUCCCUAAAACCAUGACCUCACAGCAUUUUCCCGUGUUUUAGACAGAUAUUUUCCGUAAAGUGCCAAGCACACUGCUUAACAUCAUGUAAGUGCUCAUUAAAUGCUCCCCUCUUCUUCCCUUCCCUUUGCGUUGUUCAGAGAUUGCCAUGGAAACUCACCUCUCUGCUUUCACUGAGGUCUCUUUAAAAAAUUUGCAAUUACUCUAAAAGCUUGACUUUUUUUUCAUCUGAAAUGAGAAAUUCUAAAGGUAAUAAUAUGCUACAUUCUAUGCUAAAAGUAAAUUAAAUGCAGGGUCAAAGCUGAUUUGGAACUCCCCUAGGAAGUCUCAGAGAUGCUUGCAUUUCAAAAUUGUUCUCAUUAUUUUUGGUAAAUUGAAUAUAACAAACUAAUUAUUUUGCAUAAUGAUAAUGAUAUCAUCAUUUUAUUAUUAUCACUAAAACACAAUAAUAAUAAUUGCUACUUUUAAAACAUAGUCUUUGCUAGUCACUUUUCCAGAUCUUUCCCAGUCAUUUCUUCUAAUCCUCCCAACUGCCUUGCUAUGUUUGUAUUCUUUCCAUUUUACAGAUGAAGACAUUGAGGCUCAGAGGGUGGGAUUUGCCGAAGUUCUUAUUGCUGGAAGGUGGCAAGCCAGGCAAUAAGUGUGCUCUGUCUCCAGAACGUGUAUACUUUGUAUGCCUGGUUACUUCUGGACAAUGAUUUUAAUAUGCUGAAAUUCUCCAUUCUCCUAGUGCUUCUUCUGGACUUGGCUUAGCAUAGAACAAAAUGUAGCUAAUCAUGUAACUGAGGCAGAGAUGGUUAAUUCUCACCAAAUAUUCCAUGCAUUCUCCCUCAUUUCCACUCUGCCUUGCUAUUAGGUUGAGGCCAAGUGACUCCUUCUGGACAAUGAAUCUGAAACAGAAUAACACAUGUUACUUCCAGGCUGAGGCAGUUACAAGCUGGUGUGCUUCUUUCCUCUCUCUCGCCAGGCUCAAGUGACCUUAGAAGUGACAUGUUAAGGAGGCUAUAUUAUAAGAUGAAGAGAGCUUGGAUCCCUGAGUCACUGGAUGGAGGAGCAUCCCAGGCAAACCGCGUUAGACUCAGUGUGUGGAAGAAAUCAACUUCUGCUGUGCUAAGCCGCCAUGAUCAUAAAGUUUAUUUGUUACUGCAGCACGGCCUAGCCUACCCAGACUGAAACAAUAGGGAAUCCUUUUUGGUGACCAGUCAUCAUGGGAGGUGUAAGAACCUCAUUAUUUAGGGUGCCAAGAAGGCUAGGUGACUCCACUUACCAUCAUAAAAAUGAAAAUUGAAUAGCACAGCCUCUGUAUCUGUUUUUAGGCAAACCUAUUAUUGUUCUUUUGAAAAGGGGGUGGUAUAAAGAAAAGGGAAUGCCCUCUUUUUCUUUGCUAAGAUUCAGGUUAAGCUGAAUAAAUAAAUCCUCCCCUCCAACCCAGAAGGACAGAGGAAGAAUAAUCUGCAUGAAGAGGUGGGUGCACACUUGGGAGGACAUGUUUUAAAUAUCUUUCCCACAAAAAGCAUCUGCAAACAUUAAAAUCUAAAAAAAGGAAUCAUGAAUAAUGAGAUGUGGCUUGAUUAGAGAAAAUCAUUUUUAAAUCACUGUGGUUUUCACUUUUUCUUUGCACUGGGAGGCUAGGCUUUGUCUGAAUCUUAUUAAUAAGAGAGAGAUACCAAGAUAACUAAGACUGAUAAGGAAUAAAUACAAUUUGGCUUCAUUUAGCUGCAAACAUCAUGUUUUGAAAGAUUAUUAUAAGUGACUUUCAAAUUUGCGUAAUUCUUUUAUAAGGUAAGUUUCUGUUGGACUAUAAAAAUAUUUUUCAAUUUUCCUAGAUGAGAAAAGGCAAAAGAGGUUAAUUAAAAGUCAACUCAAGACUGCUUAGGCACUUAAACAUGUAAUUUCUUGAGUUUCAAACUUAAAUAGCUCAAACUGUAAAAGAGCUGACUAUUAUGAAUCAUGCCUUUACUCUUUAAAUGUUUUUUAUUUCCUUGGUUUGAUUUAAAAUCUUAUCCUAUAAGCUUGCAGAAUCCUAGGUGUAUAAUAACUGCAUGCCCAUUUGAGUGAAUGAAUGAGUGUAAGUUUGCAAACAGAGAGAUUGCUGGGUUCAAGAGAGUCUCUUCUGAGCCCCAGAACAGUAACAGCAGUUUCUAAAAUCUUUCCUUACUUAUUCUCUCUCCACUGCCUCUCUGUCCCCUACCCGACCCUGCCUCCCUCUGUGUUGGACUAUCCAGCUGUUAUCAUCUACCAGAAUCCUACUCCUUCACGAUCCAUUUCAAAUUGUUAUUGCUCAGCGAUGCCUUUCCUGAUUGUGAUGGCCCCUGUCUCUCUUGAUUUCCUAUUACACUCUUUGGGUAACCCACUUAUCAUCUCACGGAGUUCACAUUUUCCAUUGUGUUGUUAAUUGUCUUUUUAUAUUUACCUGCCUCAUCUCUUCAUUUGUGCUGUAGAUUUCCUGGGAUGGGCCAGUGUAUCCAGUGCCCUGUAGAGCAGCCUGUUUCGGGCUUGGUAGUGGAAGGAAGCAUCGAGGCUCCCACGUCAUGCCUACAUUCAGGAUCUAUGUUCAGCUCUGCCUCCAGCAGCAGGUUACUCUUUUCAUGAAGAGGAGGAGGACAAAGCGUAUACUUCAGCCCAGCCACAACGUCAGCACAAAGCUCAAGGCCAGCUGUGGGCUCUUGGAAUAAUUGAGUGAGGCAGAGAAAUGCAGGGUCAUGAUGACAGAGAGAGAAUCUUAGCUGGGGUCUAGAAGUGAUCAAGAGACAUAUUCAGAGUGUACUGUAGAAAAAUAAAAUCUUUAUUAAUAUUUAAAAUUAACUUUGAGCAUGUAUUAAAGAAAGAUUAAAGAUUUUCUGCAAUUACUAA